Unclassified non-coding RNA from Vulpes vulpes (red fox), 145 nucleotides. Its record names the gene 7SK. It matches the Rfam family "7SK RNA". Rfam says of the family: 7SK was discovered as an abundant small nuclear RNA in the mid-70s but a possible function has only recently been suggested. Two independent studies have found that 7SK RNA binds the CDK9/cyclin T complex (known as elongation factor P-TEFb). P-TEFb activates transcription by phosphorylating the C-terminal domain of RNA polymerase II. The record is from Ensembl. Lineage: Eukaryota; Metazoa; Chordata; Mammalia; Carnivora; Canidae.
UCCUUCCUAAACUUGCAUGAUUGGUGGAAGAGGGUGCCCAUCCAAGUAGAGGAGGGAGGAAUGUUCUGUCGAGGGCAUGUGAGGAGCUGUGUUUCCCUGUUGGAACCUCCGAAUCAACUCUAUUUGUAGAAGAACAUGCACAGGC